AUGAAUCUCCCGGUGAUCGCCUGUGUCCUCCUCCUACUUCUCGAUCUCAAUGUUUCUCCCGUGGAGCCGUCCCGGCCGCAGGGGCUCGCGAAGGGGCGCCACACGCCCGGAAAGGGGAACCACCACGGCCAUAGCGGGCACAGCGGCGACGACGGGCACCAACACGACCACUCCGACGACUACAACGGGUACAGCUUCUACGUCUUCGGCGACUCCUUUGCCGACAACGGCAACCUCGUCAAGAUGAACCCAAGAUCCGAGCUCAAUCGCCAGUGGCGCUAUCCCUAUGGCUUAUCCGGCCGCUUCUCCAACAGCUUGGUUCAGUCCGACCUCAUCGCCUACAUGCUAGGGCAGAAAAAGUCCCCUCCGGCGCACAGGCUCACGCGCAAGGUCGGCAAGGCUGGAUUGAACUUCGCCGCCGGCGGCUCCGGCGUGUUUGACGCACCGGACACCCAGACGCUCGCCAGGCAGAUCCACACCUUCCACAAGCUCGUCAAGGACGGAGACAUCGACCAGGACCGCCUCGCGUCCAAAUCCGUCGCGCUCGUCGCCGUCUCCGGCAACGACUACGCCCGCCUUCCCGCCGACACCAAGAGCUUCGCCGAGGUGGAUGAUUUCGCCAGGAAGGUGGUGGAGGAGAUCGCGUUUAACGUGCGGCGCCUGCAAGACAUCGGCGUGGAGAAGGUGCUCGUCAACAACCUCCACCCUUUCGGAUGCUCGCCGUCGGAGACCAGGGCGUACAACCACACGCGCUGCAAUGAGCGGCGCAACCUGGCCGCCACGCUCCACAACCACCACCUCGCCGACGAGCUGGCCGGCAUGGACGACGUGCUGCUGCUCGACCUCAACGCCGCCUUCAGCAACGUCGUCCGGCACUACAACGAUGACGGGGACGGCGACAUCAUUCCCAAUCUCUUCAGGGAGAAGCUGGCGCCGUGCUGCGAGAGCACCGACCCCAAGGGCUACUGCGGGCAGGUCGACACGGAGAAGUUGGAACCCCUCUACAAGGUGUGCGACAACCCCAACUAUUUCUUCUUUUGGGACGAGAUGAACCCCACCAUGGUCGGGUGGCAGGCCGUCAUGGGCCCGCUCGAUCACCCCAUCAGGAAGUUCUUAGGGCUCAUUAGGUAG
This 1131-nucleotide ribosomal RNA is filed under the name Triticum aestivum (bread wheat). RNAcentral describes it as "partial small subunit ribosomal RNA". The record is from RNAcentral. Lineage: Eukaryota; Viridiplantae; Streptophyta; Magnoliopsida; Poales; Poaceae.